This 242-nucleotide long non-coding RNA is filed under the name Hordeum vulgare. RNAcentral describes it as "long non-coding RNA (HVUL_LNC003703)". Lineage: Eukaryota; Viridiplantae; Streptophyta; Magnoliopsida; Poales; Poaceae. The record is from RNAcentral.
GGGGGUUUGGCUUAUGAGCUGUGCAGUAGUAGUUGAUGUUGCAACCACCGGGGAUCAAAAUACGUCGAAGAUUGCAAGCAAGUGUACAGUGACUCAGACUGGUUCUUUGUUUGCCUAGUACUCUCUAUAGGCUGCAUGGUACGUAGCCUAGGGAUAUAUUAUAUCGUAUUAUUGGUCAAGAGGAGGCCAUAAAAUAUUUGGUUGUAGUUGAAAAGAACUAAACUAGUUCUUUUUAAUUAUAU